UGGGGGAUAUUGCACAAUGGGCGAAAGCCUGAUGCAGCGACGCCGCGUGGGGGAUGAAGGCUUUCGGGUUGUAAACAUCUUUCGCUAUCGAACAAGGCCCGCCUAGGGUGGGUUGAGGGUAGGUGGUGAAGACGCGCCGGCUAACUACGUGCCAGCAGCCGCGGUAAUACGUAGUGCGCGAGCGUUGUCCGGAAUUAUUUGGCGUAAAGGGCUUGUAGGCGGCUUGUUGCGCCUGCUGUGAAAACGCGGGGCUUAACUUCGCGCGUGAAGUGGGUACGGGCAGGCUUGAGUGUGGUAGGGGUGACUGGGAUUCCAGGUGUAGCGGUGGAAUGCGCAGAUAUCUGGUGGAUCACCGAUGGCGAAGGCAGGUCACUGGGCCAUUACUGACGCUGAGGAGCGAAAGCAUGGGUAGCGAGCAGG
Molecule: ribosomal RNA, 420 nt
Filed under: bacterium
Lineage: Bacteria
Description: partial 16S ribosomal RNA
Rfam family: Bacterial small subunit ribosomal RNA
Source: RNAcentral